RNAcentral lists this ribosomal RNA (506 nucleotides) under uncultured bacterium. Its description in RNAcentral is "partial 16S ribosomal RNA". It matches the Rfam family "Bacterial small subunit ribosomal RNA", at positions 29 to 523 of the family's 1533-position model. The record is from RNAcentral.
AGUGAACGCUGGCGGUAGGCCUAACACAUGCAAGUCGAACGGCAGCACAGAGGAGCUUGCUCCUUGGGUGGCGAGUGGCGGACGGGUGAGGAAUACAUCGGAAUCUACUCUGUCGUGGGGGAGAACGUAGGGAAACUUACGAUAAUACCGCAUACGACCUACGGGUGAAAGCAGGGGAUCUUCGGACCUUGCGCGAUUGAAUGAGCCGAUGUCGGAUUAGCUAGUUGGCGGGGUAAAGGCCCACCAAGGCGACGAUCCGUAGCUGGUCUGAGAGGAUGAUCAGCCACACUGGAACCGAGACACGGUCCAGACUCCUACGGGAGGCAGCAGUGGGGAAUAUUGGACAAUGGGCGCAAGCCUGAUCCAGCCAUACCGCGUGGGUGAAGAAGGCCUUCGGGUUGUAAAGCCCUUUUGUUGGGAAAGAAAUCCAUCUGGUUAAUACCCGGGUGGGAUGACGGUACCCAAAGAAUAAGCACCGGCUAACUUCGUGCCAGCCGCCGCCGUAA